AGCUUUAUAUUCAAAAAUGAUAUCAAAUUGCAAAUUUGAAGGAGUAGUAAUACUAAGGCUU
Molecule: transfer RNA, 61 nt
Filed under: Arenivaga sp. B097
Lineage: Eukaryota; Metazoa; Arthropoda; Insecta; Blattodea; Corydiidae
Description: tRNA-Cys
Source: RNAcentral